Molecule: transfer RNA, 78 nt
Filed under: Felis catus (domestic cat)
Lineage: Eukaryota; Metazoa; Chordata; Mammalia; Carnivora; Felidae
Rfam family: tRNA
About the family: Transfer RNA (tRNA) molecules are approximately 80 nucleotides in length. Their secondary structure includes four short double-helical elements and three loops (D, anti-codon, and T loops). Further hydrogen bonds mediate the characteristic L-shaped molecular structure. tRNAs have two regions of fundamental functional importance: the anti-codon, which is responsible for specific mRNA codon recognition, and the 3' end, to which the tRNAs corresponding amino acid is attached (by aminoacyl-tRNA synthetases). tRNAs cope with the degeneracy of the genetic code in two manners: having more than one tRNA (with a specific anti-codon) for a particular amino acid; and 'wobble' base-pairing, i.e. permitting non-standard base-pairing at the 3rd anti-codon position.
Source: Rfam by way of RNAcentral
GCCUGGGUGGCUCAGUCGGUUGAGUGUCUGACUUCAGCUCAGGUCACAGCUCUGUGAGUUCGAGCCCCACAUUGGGCU